This 64-nucleotide transfer RNA is filed under the name Luciola kagiana. RNAcentral's name for it is "tRNA-Thr". It matches the Rfam family "tRNA". Rfam says of the family: Transfer RNA (tRNA) molecules are approximately 80 nucleotides in length. Their secondary structure includes four short double-helical elements and three loops (D, anti-codon, and T loops). Lineage: Eukaryota; Metazoa; Arthropoda; Insecta; Coleoptera; Lampyridae. The record is from RNAcentral.
UGUUUUAAUAAUUUAAUAAAAAAUAUUGGUCUUGUAAACCAAAAAUAAAUCAUCUUUUAAAACU